This 313-nucleotide long non-coding RNA is filed under the name Elaeis guineensis (African oil palm). Its description in RNAcentral is "long non-coding RNA (EGUI_LNC048114)". The record is from RNAcentral. Lineage: Eukaryota; Viridiplantae; Streptophyta; Magnoliopsida; Arecales; Arecaceae.
UGCUUUUGGAGUUGCAGAGCACCCACAAUUUCAAUGGAGCUGCCUAUAUGACUAUAGGAAUAAUAGAUCUCCAGUAAUUCAUCCUAAGUGAAUCCUUCACUCGGAUCUUGGCACCCUGCAUAUACUCAUGUGCAAGCCGACCCCUUUCAUGUAGAGGACUUGGUCCAUUCAUCAAGAAACAAAGGUGUGCUUGCUAUAGAGAUAAGUUUGAAGAUUUUAUCUUUCUCCCAAAACUCUAGGGGAAGAUUUGGUAGCUAUAUCCAUACCUUAGCCCAUCAGACCAUGUCUCGACUGGGCUUGAAGUUCAGCCACC